Molecule: long non-coding RNA, 983 nt
Organism: Setaria italica (foxtail millet)
Lineage: Eukaryota; Viridiplantae; Streptophyta; Magnoliopsida; Poales; Poaceae
Exons: 3
Source: RefSeq, a predicted model, not a curated record
CGCCGCCUCCGCUCGAGCCCUCCCCAAGCCGUCGCAUGCUACAGAAAGCCUCCCGAGGCCGCCCGCUCGAUAUCGUCGCCCCGGGGCCACCCGCUCCAGCGCCCCGAGCCACCGCGCUACCCCACGCUCACAUUGUGGAGAGCUCACGGAUCCGUUGCGGUUCGUGACGAAGGCCGACGGCGGUCGCGGGCGAGCGAGCGAUGUGGUGGCGCGGCGGCUACGCGUGCGAGGAGGCGCACGGGGAGCAUGUCACCGCAGGGCACAUCUGUGGCUGCUGGCCAAAGCCUUCAUCUCAGCCAUGGAGUUCUGGCUGCCAGGCUGCUCCAGCAUGCGCUCCUAGCGGAUGCGUUCCUCGUGGAGGCGACACUGGAGGCCGGACUGCGGCUGAGACUCGGCAAGGUAGCGAGCGGCCAAACCUCUAGCAAAGGUGGCAACCUGACCUGAGAGCGGAGACCACCUCGACCGGUAACCCAAUCCUAACAGGUUUAUUUUAACUGCAAGUAAGGUGUUUGACGAAAUGCCUCCUCAGCAGUCGACAAGACAACAAAUCAGGAACACGCCAUGAGAUCCAGGCUACUGGUUCUUCUCAUGCUGCCUCGGAAUCCGAUAACAAUGACAAUGAUGGUGGCCACAAUAGCAACAGUGGAAGCCAAGCUAUGUGAUGGGCUCGUCAGUUGUGCAAAAACAGCAUGCUAUUUGGUAGUUUCUGAACUUUCACUGAUGUGAAUUCAACUUGUAACGUUUUGAAGUGUUUGGUCUGCAUACACUUAGGUGGUAGGAGAUACACUUGCUUUAGGGAAGACAUGUGACACAGUGACAAUGGUGUUUAAGCCAAACAAUUGGACAUCAUCUUAUAUGUAUGCUGUGUGUAAUGGUCGAGCUCUGGUGUAGUUAAGCAAUUUGUAUGGUUAAGUUGUGGUGUGCCAUAAUUGGACUAUUAUGUGAAUGAUUCAGAUUUAAUUGAAAUUACCAUUUCUUGAAAA